AAGAAAAAGAAAUAUGAAAUAUGAGAAAUGAGAAAAUGGACGAUAAAAAUGACUGUAAAUUAUAUUAGGGUUUUGAUAUAGGGGUUUCCGGUCAUCGAAGUGAGGAAGGAUGAAGAUAGCGGUGGAAGGGUGCAUGCACGGCGAUCUGGAAAAUGUUUACAGAACUCUUCAACAUCUUGAGAAAUCCCAAAACACGAAAAUCGAUCUCCUCCUUUGCUGCGGCGAUUUUCAAGCUGUGAGGAACGAGCACGAUUUGAAGAGUUUGAACGUUCCCCACCGCUAUCGCUCCAUGAAUUCCUUCUGGAAGUACUAUUCUGGAUUAGAGGUUGCCCCUUAUCCCACCAUUUUCAUCGGUGGCAAUCACGAAGCAUCCAAUUAUUUGUGGGAACUGUACUAUGGAGGUUGGGCUGCUCCUAAUAUCUACUUCUUGGGAGUUGCUGGAGUGGUGAAGUUUGGGAAUAUUCGAAUUGGUGGUCUCUCUGGAAUUUAUAAUGCUCGUCACUAUAAUUUAGGUUGAGUAUUUGUUUACGAAUUGUGAGUUGCUGAAGAGUAUUGAAUCUGAAUGGGAUUUUUGUGUUAUAGUUACAGAAUGAUGCUAGGUUGUGUGUUUGAGCAGGACACUUUGAGAGGCCUCCCUAUGACCAGAGUACCGUUAGGUCUGUGUAUCAUGUUCGAGAAUACGAUGUUCAUAAACUUAUGCAAGUCGAGGAACCUAUCGAUAUUUUUCUUUCGCACGAUUGGCCGCUGAGAAUCACUGAUUAUGGGGAUUGGGAGGAGCUUGUUCGGCGCAAGCAUUUUUUUAGGAAAGAGCUCAUAAUUUUGCCAGAUAGAGGAAAAAAGACUUGGGAGUAAACCUGCUGGUCAGCUUCUAGAAAAACUGAAACCGCAUUAUUGGUUUUCAGCCCACUUACACUGCAAGUUUGCUGCUCUAGUUCAACAUGGGGAGGGAGGCCCACUGACAAAAUUCCUUGCACUGGAUAAAUGUAUUGCUGGGCGUGAUUUCUUACAGAUUGUGGAAAUUGAAUCAGAUGCAGGACCUUAUGAGAUUCAGUAUGAUGAAGAAUGGUUAGCAAUAACACGGAGGUUCAACUCCAUCAUCCCUCUGACUACCAAAUAUGCUGAUUUCAGAGGUGUAAAUUUUGAAAUGAAAGAUUGCCAUGAAUGGGUUAGAAGGAGACUACAGGAGAGGGGGUGCAAACCUUUCGAAUUUGUUAGAACAGCUCCAUGUUAUGAUCCUUCACAAUCCAAUUUUGAUGGUGCUUUUGCAGUGAAUUCCAGAAAUCCUCAGACAGAAUCUCUUUUGCAGCUUCUAGAACUUCCAUAUCUUCUUGAUAGCAAUCCUGAAGCAAAAGACUUGUCACCUCAUUGUUCCCCUUCAAUUCAAAGAGGCAUUGGUUAUGACAACGAGGACAUUCCCAUUGAUGACGUGGAUGAUGAUGAUGAAGAGGGCCCAAAAGUUGAUGACGUGGAAACCGAGAUUUCUAAUUUGUGAAUUGUUGUUGCAGUUAACAUGCUCAAUUAGUAUUGACUUGCGGCCAACAUUUUAUAUCAAGUUAUUACACUGAUACGCGUUCAAUAGACUAUGGAUUUUCCACCCAUGUAGUUAUGUUGUAUGUAUAUUAAAUUACCAUUUUUUAGAUUAUAUAAAAGAACUCUAGGUUGAAAU
Molecule: RNA transcript, 1666 nt
Organism: Abrus precatorius (Indian licorice)
Lineage: Eukaryota; Viridiplantae; Streptophyta; Magnoliopsida; Fabales; Fabaceae
Gene name: lariat debranching enzyme
Exons: 7
Source: RefSeq, a predicted model, not a curated record